Molecule: long non-coding RNA, 2507 nt
Organism: Hyla sarda
Lineage: Eukaryota; Metazoa; Chordata; Amphibia; Anura; Hylidae
Exons: 3
Source: RefSeq, a predicted model, not a curated record
UUGUAUAAAGGCAUAUAAAUGCCAAUCUCACUUUCUGACAUCUCAAUAUAUACACGCAGUGCGCCAGUGUCCAAAUACAUGAUUAUAACGUGCCAAUGUGAAAAAAAGAUAACAUAUUUCAAUACAUAUAUAAUGUGAACCAGUGAUGUGUGUGUAAAGGAAUUUUUCUUAUAAUGACGAAUAAAAGUGAAAAACUAAGACGUAAAGUGGUAUAAAUGUAUUUAACCACCUAUGGCUGUGCACAAGUAAAAAAGUGCAAGCCUAUGUAUAUACCCAGUGAUGAUGCAGCAUACAUUAAAGAAGUACCUCUAUAGUAAAAGAUGAAAUAAUAGAAUCAAAAGCCAUAAGACUAUAUAAGUGUAUAUAGUGAAACCAUUUAUUAAGACAAAGAAAUUUAAACGGGACGUUAAUGACUUCCAGUCUAAUAGAGUAUACAGGUGGCCUCUGGAGGUAGGGGACCAUCCCCCCCUAACUAGAACCCCCUCUGUGACCUCUAUAUUAUCUAUGGGAAGUAGCACACAGUCACAUCAGGAACAAGAGGGAUACCAUCUGAGAAGAGGCUAUACAAGAAGGAACGAGACAACUUGGAAUGGAAGCAGGAGACGUGGACAAUCGGUAAGUGAUUGUAAAUCAGGUAUUCAGUUUAUUAAUCUGUCUGAUAUUGCACUCACUAAAGAACAAAUUGAAGUGUUGAGUCUAGGCCUAACGUUCUCACCUACCUCAUCUUUUGAUGUCAUUACAGCGACAAAGGACUUGACUUUAUUUGCCAGGAAAUUGGUUUAAAAAAAAUAGUUUGACCACAGUGCACAACAGGUGAAGGGAUGGAGUACACAGGAUUUGGAAGCCAUUAGAACUCUAGAAGAAUUGGAAAGAGGGGACCCAGCAGAUACAGAAGAAGGGUGAGUUGGACGACUUAUUGAGAAAGCCCUUAGAGAAGAGCAUCCUCACACAAGGAACAUAUGGAUACUUGACUGUGAAGUACCCCAAAAUGACAUGCCUAUACUUGUUACCUACAGUACACAAGGACACCCGUAACCCACCAGGACAACCGAUUGUGUCAGGGAAGGAAAGCCUGUGCGAACCUCUAGGGCUCGGAGCAAGAUCUACUUGAAUUCAUGCAGAUACUUAACAACAAUAGCAAGAAUAUCCAACUGACGGUGAAAUACAGCCAACAAAGUGUGGAUUUUCUGGAUCUGAAGAUAUACAGAGAUGCUGAGGGGUAUGUACAGACUGAUUUGUUUCGAAAAGAGACAUCUGUAAACUCGGUCCUGCAUGCUAGCUCCUUUCACCCGUUGCCCACGAAAAGAGGGAUACCGGUGGGCCAGUUUUUGCGGGCACGCAGAGUGUGCUCGGAUGACAUUUAAUUUUCUAAACAGACCAAGGAUCUCAGCAAACGAUUUGAAGAGCGGGGCUAUAGCAAGCGCAUGCUAAGACGGGGACAGGAUCGAGCAAUACAUACAAAACGAGAAGAUCUAUUAAAACCAAAAGAAACCAAGAAAGAUGACUUCCAAGAGGUGAGAUUUAUCACCCCAUAUAAUAACAAGUGGCAGGAGAUAAGAGGGAUCUUGUCUAAAUUUUGGCCCAUUCUACAGGCUGAUACUACAUUGAAGAAACACAUUCCAGCAAGGCCUUCCAUCACAUAUAAAAGAGCCAAAAACUUGAGGGACAUUCUAGUCCACAGUAAUUACGAAGGAACCACAGUCAAAAAUGCAUUUGGAUCGAGGGGCCCGAAGUGGGGGUGUUACCCCUGUGGGGGAUGUGUAGCGUGCCCAAACAUGGAAAGAGCGACACAAUUUGUGUCCAGCAACAGUCAGAAGUAAUAUAGAAUAACAUAACAUAUUUCCUGUCACACAGAGGGAGUAAUCUACUACGCCACAUGCCCAUGUAAUUUAAUAUAUAUGGGCUUAACAUCACGCAAAUGGAAAAUCAGAGUACGGGAACAUGUACAUGAUAUUGAAAGGGUGAAGAAUGAGGAGAAUUUGUUACAACUUAAACCAAUACCCAGACAUUUCAGAGAGAAACACAAUUGCAAUUCCAGCCUAUUGAGAGUAAAGGGACUAGACAAAGUCCAUAUCGGCAAAAGAGGAGGAAAUUGGAGAAAAAGGCUUGCACAACUGGAAGUCCAAUGGAUUUUGAAAAUAGAUUGCAUUCGUCCAAAAGGCCUAAAUGAAGUUUUGAGCUUUGCCCCGUUCCUGUAAGUGUUACAUUCAAAGGGUCCUACCCUUUUUUCAUCUGUUCCCCCCCCCCCCCCCCCUUUUUUUUCCUAUUCAUUCUUUUUACCUCUCCACUUCUCCUCCCCACAUAUUUAUGUGAGCAAUGGCCACAGAGGGAGGAUAGAGUGUGGGGAAAGGACUAGGGGAUAGGGGACCCCUUGGGUGGUUCAUGUGGAACUCAUUGAUCCCGGUGUUUUAUGAUGUUUUAAUGAUUUUUAUGCUAUUCUUAUUGUCUUCUUUAAAGAUCCAAGUAUAGUGAUAUCCACCUCCUUUUAGCAGCCCGCAGCGCCUCGG